GAAAGAGAUGUACUAUUCCAGUGACUGUCAGGAUUCCUUUGAUGAACUCUGCAUAUUGUAGAAGGCCUCAACAGGAUCUGGCCACUAAAUGAAGAACUCUAAGCGGUUAAAAAAUGUUGAGAAAAGUCUAGGUUGGCUUCGACCUCAAGACUGUCCCUUCUUCACCUCACAAGCAUAAUAAGGAUGACAGAUUAGUGCAACAAUGCACCCUGCAUGCGACCUUCUUUUAAGAGCAAAUGAGAUCAAGGAAAGACUCUCUACACUGAAGCCAAUCUUACAUUUCCCCUAGAGUUUACUGAAAAAGAAUGAGCAUAUUCACAAGGGAAAGAAAAAAAAAAAGCAAUUCCACAUUAG
This is a long non-coding RNA of Alexandromys fortis (reed vole), 354 nucleotides long. RefSeq lists it as uncharacterized. NCBI's taxonomy places the organism in Eukaryota, Metazoa, Chordata, Mammalia, Rodentia, Cricetidae. The record is from RefSeq and is a predicted model, not a curated record. The transcript is spliced from 4 exons.